UCCCAAAACCCCUGUGAACAUACCUUUAAUGUUGCCUCGGCGGAUCAGCCCGCGCCCCGUAAAACGGGACGGCCCGCCAGAGGACCCAAACUCUAAUGUUUCUUAUUGUAACUUCUGAGUAAAACAAACAAAUAAAUCAAAAACUUUCAACAACGGAUCUCUUGGUUCUGGCAUCGAUGAAGAACGCAGCAAAAUGCGAUAAGUAAUGUGAAUUGCAGAAUUCAGUGAAUCAUCGAAUCUUUGAACGCACAUUGCGCCCGCUGGUAUUCCGGCGGGCAUGCCUGUUCGAGCGUCAUUUCAACCCUCAAGCCCCCGGGUUUGGUGUUGGGGAUCGGCUCUGCCUACGGCGGUGCCGCCCCCGAAAUACAUUGGCGGUCUCGCUGCAGCCUCCAUUGCGUAGUAGCUAACACCUCGCAACUGGAACGCGGCGCGGCCAUGCCAGUAAAACCCCAACUUCUGAAUGUUGACCUCGGAUCAGGA
RNAcentral lists this ribosomal RNA (480 nucleotides) under Fusarium sp. Pr13. Its description in RNAcentral is "eukaryotic LSU rRNA". The stretch from base 142 to 295 matches the Rfam family "5.8S ribosomal RNA". The record is from RNAcentral. Lineage: Eukaryota; Fungi; Ascomycota; Sordariomycetes; Hypocreales; Nectriaceae.